Molecule: long non-coding RNA, 897 nt
Organism: Nyctereutes procyonoides (raccoon dog)
Lineage: Eukaryota; Metazoa; Chordata; Mammalia; Carnivora; Canidae
Exons: 4
Source: RefSeq, a predicted model, not a curated record
UGCUGGGCACCUCCGCACCUGGGGCUGCCGGUGGGAGGAACAGAAGGGGGGCUGGAGCUGGCUGGUCCCAUUUGCUGCGGCGUCUACAAGAAAGGAAGAGGAAAAGCCCCGGGAUGCGUCGCGCUCCCCGCGGACAUGGCGACCGGCUCUGCUCAACCACCCGCCAACUACCCCACUACCACCUUCCCGUCACUUCCGCCCCCAACGCCCUCACGCACAGCCCCUUCCGGUUGUGAAGAAAAGCUGUUCCGGUAGAAGCGUCGGUUCCAAUUGGACUCUUGUGGAUUUCGAGGCGUCUGGCGUUAUCGGAGACAGUCCAGCCACGUCCUCUGGCCAAGGAGAGAGGACGCCGAAGCCCGCAACUUUGGCCCGCUUCACGUUUCGGCUACCUGUUUAGGAAAAGGCAAAUGGUUCAUCCCAAAGGUCAUGUGGAGAAUUUCUCCGGUGGUUUUACGUCUGUGUGCCAACCACUGAUUUCAAAGCGGGGCUUCGGGGGCGCGCCGCGAGGGGGCGCCGGCGCCCGGGCGGGAGAGCGGAGGUGAGGGGCGGGUGAGGGGCUCGGAGUGGGCCGUGACCGCUGACUGACCCCGUUGGCAGGUCUUGGAACUGUGAGGAGACUCUCUUCAGUGGAUAGCCCGCAGCGCUGUCUUUCUAGUGUGUUUUUCUAAAGAAUGUCAGAUUAAGAGAUCCCUGGGUGGCUCAGAGAUUCAGCGCCUGCCUUCGCCCCGGAGCAUGAUCCUGGAGUCCCAGGAUCGAGUCCCACGUCCGGCUCCCUGCAUGGAGCCUGCUUCUCCCUCUGCCUGUGUCUCUGCCCCUCUCUCUCUCUCUCUCUCUCUGUGUGUCUCUCAUGAAUGGAUAAAUAAAAUCUUAAAAAAAUAAAAAUAAAAAAAAGAAGAA